UAUAAAGCCAGUGAUAUCGCCUCUGAUAU
This 29-nucleotide non-coding RNA is filed under the name Rattus norvegicus (Norway rat). The record is from RNAcentral. Lineage: Eukaryota; Metazoa; Chordata; Mammalia; Rodentia; Muridae.